Molecule: long non-coding RNA, 1212 nt
Filed under: Anas platyrhynchos (mallard)
Lineage: Eukaryota; Metazoa; Chordata; Aves; Anseriformes; Anatidae
Description: lncRNA (ENSAPLG00020016609.1)
Source: RNAcentral
UGCUGUUUACAGCAAAUGGGAUCUAGCUCCUGUGAUUCAGUUCUCUGGCUCGUGGUGGGCAUCUAGCAUGCAUAACCCUUUUCUAUAGAGCUGCCAAAGAGGGAACUCACAGGAGCUGAAAUCACUUAGGAGCAGCAGUGUUUAGUGCAGCCACUGGUAGAACACAGUGAGCUGUGCCACCAAGAGUUUGGUGGUAUCCUGUUCUGUUUUGUUGCCUCCUUGAAAAGAAAGUACUUAAUCUCAAAACAUAAUUCUGCACUUCAAAUAUGGGAAGAAGCAUACAUGCUUCAGGAUAUCAGGGGAGAACAAAUCUACAAACUUUCUAAAUGAAAACUGAUCAAAAUGCCAAUAUGCAUCUUAAGACUGGUAUCAGAAUGGAGACCUGUAUCUCCAGGUACAGACCCUCUGAAGGCACUCACAUUAAAUGUUCCCACUUCACCUUAAUGCUUGUUCAGCUGUUUUCCUUGGACAUCUCCAUCUAAAUCUAGCAGGCUACUGCUGUGAGCCAGGUAAAGAAGUUAUACUUGUGAGUAUAAUUUAAAGAAACUACUACCAUAAAUACAACUGCAAGCAAGUUAAGGUUUGUAGAGUCUGUUUACAUUUAUUAACUCAAUGUUUUGCACAAACAUUUAAUGCUCAUAAACUAAUUGCAUCACAUGGGAUUAAUUACUGUAUGAGUAGUCAUGCACCUUCUUUCAGGUCUCUUGUCUGAAUAAAUGUCUUUGGUGUAGUGAUUGGCCCAGACACUAGUUAGGAACACAUCCCCAGGAAAUGGAGAGAGAUGGACAGCCCACAGAGCCAUAAGCUUAUAUAUACAUAUUUAACAGGUUAGUGCUAAUUGUGUUUUACUUCGGUACAUGAAUUGGAAGACAAGUUUCUGGGCUUUCCUUUGAUAGGAGAAUGGCGGGAGAUUGGUCUAAUGCAAAGCUCUAGAAAAACCUUGCAUGCUCACUUGUAAUUUAGUAUUAAUUUGUCUUUUUCCACACUUACAACAAAUGUUUUCUAGGAAAAUACAAAAGCCUCCUAGAAAGGAAGCAAAUCUGAUCUUAGUUUGAUUAAUAUUCUCUUUGCCAGGUUUGUUCCUGAGACUUUGAGAUUACUGCCUUGGUGUAUGAAAUGCCUUUUCCUAUAUUACAAACAUCAGAAGAUACCAAUUACAGAGAAAGGCUGUUUCAAAUGUCCUUGGAAUUAAUUGGAGCACUUACCUAUGCU